Molecule: RNA transcript, 2027 nt
Organism: Hevea brasiliensis (rubber tree)
Lineage: Eukaryota; Viridiplantae; Streptophyta; Magnoliopsida; Malpighiales; Euphorbiaceae
Exons: 16
Source: RefSeq, a predicted model, not a curated record
AUUCCACUGCCUGUGAGACCUCUUAUAAGUCACGGCAAUGGUAAAGAUUCUGCUCAACUGAAACUCCCAAAAUUUCAAAUUCAACAGCUCAAGAAUUCAACAAAAUUUCACAAAUCCCUCCGGCUAUGACUGCCCGGUGACGCUUAGACAGUCGAUUGCGCAGUUUUCUCCGUUUUAUUUGCUGGGUGGGUUGAGUUGCAAAGAAGGGUGGUUUAAUUGAUGUAAAAGUAAAGUAUGAACAAGAAAUCCAAUUGUUGUGCCAUUUGUGAGAAUUCAAAUCGCGCAUCUAUUUGUGCUGAUUGUAUCAAUCACAGAUUAAAUGAGUACAAUAGCUUGCUCAAAUCAUUGAAGAGUCGUCGGGAUUUGCUGUAUUCAAGGUUGAGAGAAGUUCUUGUGGCGAAGGGGAAGGCAGAUGAUCAACUAAAUUGGAGAGUGAUUCAGAAUGAGAAGCUUGCAAGUUUGAGGGAGAAGCUCCAUUGUAACAAGGAACAACUCAUUCAAGGGAAGGCUAAGAUUGAAAGGAUAUCUAAUGAUUUCAAUGUCAAAUAUGGGGUGCUUGAAUCAGCUCAGAGUGUGUUACAAGAUAUCCGAGUGGAAAAACAGGAGAAGUUCUUUCCAAACCUUAUUUACACUCAGAGUCUAGGACAUAUGGCAAUUACCUCUGAACUACUUCAUAAGCAAUCAGUAAUUGUAAAACAGAUGUGCAAAUUGUUUCCGCUACGUCGGGUGAUUAUAGAAGGGGAGAGAAAAGAUGCGUCUAAUGGUCAAUAUGAUCAAAUAUGCAAUGCACGCUUACCUAGAGGACUUGAUCCUCAUUCUGUUCCAUCAGAAGAGCUUGCUACUUCCCUGGGAUACAUGGUGCAACUUCUAAAUCUUGUUGUUGGUAACUUGGCUGCCCCUGCACUUCAUAACUCAGGCUUUGCGGGUUCUUGCUCUCGAAUAUGGCAACGAGAUUCUUAUUGGAAUGCCUAUCCUUCUUCUAGAAGCAAUGAAUAUCCCCUUUUUAUACCUCGCCAAAAUUAUUGCUCUACAAGCAGUGAAAACUCAUGGACUGAUAGAAGCUCAAGUAAUUUUGGUGUUGCCUCAAUCGAAUCAGAGAGAAGGGCCCAUCUUGAAUCUUCUCGAAGUAGCAGCUUCAAUUACUCUGCUGCAUCUCCACAUUCUGUUGAAACACACAAGGACUUGCAGAAAGGGAUUUCACUCCUUAAGAAAAGUGUAGCUUGUGUAACAGCUUAUGGUUAUAACUUGCUAGGUUUAGAUGUGCCUUCUGAAGCAUCUACUUUUGAAGCAUUUGCAAAGUUGUUGGCCACAUUAUCCUCUUCCAAGGAAAUUCGAUCUGGUUUUUCCUUGAAGAUGGCCUGUUCAAGGUCAUGUAACCAAGUUCAGAAAUUGAAUAAAUCUGUAUGGAAUGUGAAUUCUACCAUUUCAUCAACCACUUUGCUUGAGAGUGCACAUGCACUACAUCUAACGAAAAACAUAAUUGAUAAUAAACUUCCAAAUUCAGCUACCAGUUUCCUAUUUGCAACUAAGAUACCUGAUGCUGGAAAGACUGAAAGCCUGAUUGAUGGAUGGGACCUUGUGGAACAUCCCACUUUUCCUCCUCCUCCAUCACAAAUUGAAGAUAUUGAACAUUGGAUUCGAGCCAUGUUUAUUGAUGCAACAAAGAAAUAAGCUGGUUGAGAGGGAACACCAGUCAGAGAACAGCUUUUGCGAAUCACUGACUAGUGAAGUUUUUAACAUUAUGUAAAUACAGAAAAUCUAACAGGCCAACAGGCCGUAAUGCCAUGCGGAUGUUUGUGGGUGGGGUUGACAGCAAUGUUCGAUGGCCUCCUUUGGAUGACAAUGAGAAGAAGGAGAAGAUAAGAAGAAUAAAUAUUGUUUUCCAUAUAUCUCAGCAGAAGAUCCAGCUUUAGCCAGGGCAUAUCUUAUAUCUUGUGAUGAAGAAGAGUAAAUGCAUUCCUCAAUUCCCAAUACACACAUGCAUAUGCAUGCUUUCUUAUCAAGCAAAUGUUUCAUUAUGCCAAAUG